CCUCCUUUCUGUGCCUUCACUACCCCUACCUGCCACAGGUCCGCAGGCAACAGCCAGAGAAAGCUGGUGAUCAGCAGUGAAGCCUGUUGGCAUCCUGAAAAGAUGCAGCAGUGUCAUGGAACUGUGACAGAAACAACUUGGUGAGCAGAUGAUCUUUCCGUGGCACAGAAUAAAGUAUCUGGAGGGAAGGGCUGGCACGGGCAGAGCACUCAUCUGAAGUGGUGUGGAAGUCAGAGGCAUGGAGAUCCAUGCUACGCUGCGGGUGUCAGGCUCCCAUAACAAUGUUUGCUGUUAAAUAUUCCAACCCUGUAGGGAAAGAGAAAAGCCCUGAUCUAAGACUGGUCAUGAGAUGUUCAGCUUUGUUUGUGUCACCAUUUUACUGGAAAGCCAAGGUGAAGCCCCGAAACCAUUGACCAACAGAGUGAUGAAUUGUAAGGUUCUUAUAACAUGUGUUUCCGUGACCACACAAAGGAGGAGUCAAUAUGGGAUCCCAGACCCCAGAGGAGAUUACCCCAAGAAAAGCCUUUGUGCUAAUUUCUGACCACCUGUGAAGGAAAUUCCAAGAGACAGUGGAAACAUCUCCUAUGUAGCUGCUGCUCACUGGAAAUCUAGUUCACUCGCAAAGUACUCUGAGGUUCUUGGCAAGAAAAAAGGAACUCUAUGAAAUCAAGUUGACUGGGUUCUCAACGCUGGAUAACCUUGGAAGUCCAUGUAGGAUCCUGAAUAACUACAAAGAGGUGAGCUGCCCUGCUGACCGGAGCACCACCUGGGUCUGACACUUGAGGAAAGAAAUACAUUUCCAUGAUGUUCACAUGAUAGAGAACAGAUGUACGUGAAACUGAGUGAAGCACCCACUGAGGACUUCCAGAAACAUUUGGGUGGGGGCAGAGAUGGCAAGUUAUACAGGGACCCAAAGACUUUCACAAAUCAAUGAGCGGAUAGAUUAGUCAACCUGUCAGCUGUUGUUCAAGUUGCCCUACCUAUACCUACAUGGUGAUGAGGUCUGAGGAAAUCUGGGCUACAUGUAUUGUAAAACAUUUAUACCCGGAGUAUAUAUUUAAUUAGGAGAGGUAGUAAAAAAUA
Long non-coding RNA from Nycticebus coucang (slow loris), 1083 nucleotides. RefSeq lists it as uncharacterized. NCBI's taxonomy places the organism in Eukaryota, Metazoa, Chordata, Mammalia, Primates, Lorisidae. The record is from RefSeq and is a predicted model, not a curated record. The transcript has 6 exons.